GGCAACGUGGCUGAGUGGUUAAAGCGUACGACUGGGACUUACUUAUAUCUAGAUAAUCGUAUCCCUUCGGGGCCCUAGGUUCAAAUCAUGUCGUUGUCA
Molecule: non-coding RNA, 99 nt
Organism: Xylaria telfairii
Lineage: Eukaryota; Fungi; Ascomycota; Sordariomycetes; Xylariales; Xylariaceae
Source: the annotation of a GenBank genome assembly